This 334-nucleotide long non-coding RNA is filed under the name Callithrix jacchus (white-tufted-ear marmoset). RNAcentral's name for it is "lncRNA (ENSCJAG00000056654.2)". Lineage: Eukaryota; Metazoa; Chordata; Mammalia; Primates; Cebidae. The record is from RNAcentral.
GGGCGUGGAGAGACACAUGCUAGCAGUUCAAAGGAUUUUUCUGCAUGCAGCAUAGUAAAUAAACUGAAGAGGCAAUUUUUAUGAAAAAUAUUUGCCCAGCCAAAGAAGGAAGCCAGUGAAAUUGUAAGGUUGCUGCUGAGUAGUUAAAUCCUCAGGUAGGACUUGUCUCGUGCCUCACAACUACCACCAGGACUACAGAACGAAACAAGUGGCCAAACUGAUCUUGGAGGUGGGAGAGCAAGCCGAUUGUAAUGGAGGACAUGGAUGAAUCUGGAGAACAUCAUCCUCAGCAAACUGACACAAGAACAGAAAAUGAAACACCGCAUAUUCUCAC